This 301-nucleotide ribosomal RNA is filed under the name uncultured bacterium. RNAcentral describes it as "partial 16S ribosomal RNA". It matches the Rfam family "Bacterial small subunit ribosomal RNA", at positions 509 to 807 of the family's 1533-position model. The record is from RNAcentral.
CAGUAGCCACGGGAAUACGUAGGUGGCAAGUGUUGUCCGGAAUUAUUGGGCGUAAAGGGCUCGCAGGCGGUUUCUUAAGUCUGAUGUGAAAGCCCCCGGCUCAACCGGGGAGGGUCAUUGGAAACUGGGAAACUUGAGUGCAGAAGAGGAGAGUGGAAUUCCACGUGUAGCGGUGAAAUGCGUAGAGAUGUGGAGGAACACCAGUGGCGAAGGCGACUCUCUGGUCUGUAACUGACGCUGAGGAGCGAAAGCGUGGGGAGCGAACAGGAUUAGAUACCCCUGUAGUCCCUGUCUCUUAUAC